CUUCAUCACCAUGGCAACAGCCUUAUCUGCCGCCCUAGAGCCUUUUCCCUAUAACAGUGAAAUCAACAAUGACUGUGUCAGGAGAGAUCUUUAACUUAUUAUUUAUUACAAGAUAUUCUAAUGUUUAAAGAGCAAUCCAACAUAAAUGAAGAGAACAUAAGAAACAGCAUACACAAUACUGGACAUCACAGGACCCUCUCCGGCUGGAUACCAGGCUGUAGAACCACCAGAUGCUUCAGAUGAGAAAGGUUGGAUCUGUUUCACAGGGAAGGGGCUAAACUGUUUCAAGAGGCGACCACGCGCUGGGCACUCUGUACUUUGCAACCUACCAAGUAUCAUCACAAGAGCUAUGAAAGUGAAGAGAGACAUACGUUAUCUAAGAAUCUGAGAGAGAUGACUCAGUCAGCAUCCUCUCUCUUGGUGUACAAUGGUAGGGACAGCUACUGUGUCAUCUGGAGCAUGACAAUGAGAACACAGACACUGGAUCGUCCUGAUAUAGCCUGCAGUCCAUCUGGGCCUCUAGACAUUCAUUUGCAUUUGCAUUCAUGCGCAUCCCCUACUACUCCAACUCCUACACCUUUUGGCAGGAUAUAUCCACACAGCUGGAUUGGAAUCACAAGAUGUUUUUAUUUUUUGCCUCAUUAAACUAGUUUCUCUCAA
RNAcentral lists this long non-coding RNA (660 nucleotides) under Homo sapiens (human). RNAcentral's name for it is "HSALNT0316407". Lineage: Eukaryota; Metazoa; Chordata; Mammalia; Primates; Hominidae. The record is from RNAcentral.